UUUAUUGGAGAGUUUGAUCCUGGCUCAGGAUGAACGCUGGCGGCGUGCCUAAUACAUGCAAGUCGAGCGAAUGGAUUAAGAGCUUGCUCUUAUGAAGUUAGCGGCGGACGGGUGAGUAACACGUGGGUAACCUGCCCAUAAGACUGGGAUAACUCCGGGAAACCGGGGCUAAUACCGGAUAACAUUUUGAACCGCAUGGUUCGAAAUUGAAAGGCGGCUUCGGCUGUCACUUAUGGAUGGACCCGCGUCGCAUUAGCUAGUUGGUGAGGUAACGGCUCACCAAGGCAACGAUGCGUAGCCGACCUGAGAGGGUGAUCGGCCACACUGGGACUGAGACACGGCCCAGACUCC
RNAcentral lists this ribosomal RNA (351 nucleotides) under Bacillus cereus. RNAcentral describes it as "bacterial SSU rRNA". It matches the Rfam family "Bacterial small subunit ribosomal RNA", at positions 1 to 339 of the family's 1533-position model. Lineage: Bacteria; Bacillati; Bacillota; Bacilli; Caryophanales; Bacillaceae. The record is from RNAcentral.